GAUGAACGCUGGCGGCGUGCCUAAUACAUGCAAGUCGAGCGAACAGACGAGGAGCUUGCUCCUCUGACGUUAGCGGCGGACGGGUGAGUAACAUGUGGAUAACCUACCUAUAAGACUGGGAUAACUUCGGGAAACCGGAGCUAAUACCGGAUAAUAUAUUGAACCGCAUGGUUCAAUAGUGAAAGACGGUUUUGCUGUCACUUAUAGAUGGUUCCGCGCCGCAUUAGCUAGUUGGUAAGGUAACGGCUUACCAAGGCCACGAUGCGUAGCCGACCUGAGAGGGUGAUCGGCCACACUGGAACUGAGACACGGUCCAGACUCCUACGGGAGGCAGCAGUAGGGAAUCUUCCGCAAUGGGCGAAAGCCUGACGGAGCAACGCCGCGUGUGUGAUGAAGGUCUUCGGAUCGUAAAGCUCUGUUAUUAGGGAGGAACAAAUGUGUAAGUAACUAUGCACGUCUUGACGGUACCUAAUCAGAAAGCCACGGCUAACUACGUG
Molecule: ribosomal RNA, 497 nt
Filed under: uncultured bacterium
Lineage: Bacteria
Description: partial 16S ribosomal RNA
Rfam family: Bacterial small subunit ribosomal RNA
Source: RNAcentral